RNAcentral lists this signal recognition particle RNA (99 nucleotides) under Treponema sp. RNAcentral describes it as "signal recognition particle sRNA small type". It matches the Rfam family "Bacterial small signal recognition particle RNA". Rfam says of the family: The signal recognition particle (SRP) is a universally conserved ribonucleoprotein involved in the co-translational targeting of proteins to membranes. Archaeal SRP consists of a 7S RNA and homologues of the eukaryotic SRP19 and SRP54 proteins. The record is from RNAcentral. Lineage: Bacteria; Pseudomonadati; Spirochaetota; Spirochaetia; Treponematales; Treponemataceae.
AGCCAGGACCCAUGCGAAUGAACGCCGCCCAACUCCGCCAGGUCCGGAAGGAAGCAACGGCAAGCGGAUGUCUGUUGCGCCGUGGUCAUCCUGGUUGUG